AUUGCUUAAUUAUUUCCCUUAUAGCAUGCCUAUGUUAGCCUAGUGGAGUAUUUCGCUGAGGUCGGCGACUUGCCCACUGGGAACUAUUUUUAAUAAUUUUCACACCCUCUGUUUGUUGUUUGUUUCAGAGCCAACCGCAUCGGGAGUGGCUAGGGAUUGUGGCAAGGGUUAGCGACUAGCUAGAGCCCUACGGAGUUCUUUUAGAGGGACCCGAUAUCAUCUUUCUUUUUGCGCUUUAUAGAAAGAUGUAUUAUGUAUUUUGGUUUAGAAAUUAUGUUAGACUUUUGGAUUUAGCUGUAUACAUUUUGUAUCUUUUUGUGGAUCUCUUGUGAUAGAACAUUAGUGAUUUUAUAGCACUCGCUCUUAUAGCCUUACUAGGUCUUUACUAUGUUCAUUUCUUGCUUUAGUAGACGCCUUGUGUGUAUUGUAGUUGUUUAGUGUACACGGCGGGUCUCUGCACGCGCCGGCGGGCUUCCGCUAGGCCCGGGGCGUGACAGUAAUACUUCACGAAAUCGUCGGUGUUAGUAGGGAAUGCCCUAAAUGAGGAUACAAAAAGCGUCCGAAUUCUAUGUAAUAAAUUUUUUCUCCUAUAAUUUUUUUUAUCUCUGUCGUUGUUUUUCAUUGAAUUUUAAUUUUAUUUCAAAAAAUUUUAAAGUAUUUUUUAUAUUAUUAAAUUUAAUCAAAUAUGAUUAUAUCCGUCACAUCGCGCGGGUUCCUACACUAGUUUAAUAUAUUUAACAAAAUUAUGAAUUCAUCUUAGACAUAAAUUUUGUAUCA
RNAcentral lists this long non-coding RNA (777 nucleotides) under Ananas comosus (pineapple). RNAcentral describes it as "long non-coding RNA (ACOM_LNC023110)". Lineage: Eukaryota; Viridiplantae; Streptophyta; Magnoliopsida; Poales; Bromeliaceae. The record is from RNAcentral.